This 1282-nucleotide ribosomal RNA is filed under the name Salmonella enterica subsp. enterica serovar Typhimurium. RNAcentral's name for it is "partial 23S ribosomal RNA". It matches the Rfam family "Bacterial large subunit ribosomal RNA", at positions 1 to 1230 of the family's 2925-position model. The record is from RNAcentral. Lineage: Bacteria; Pseudomonadati; Pseudomonadota; Gammaproteobacteria; Enterobacterales; Enterobacteriaceae.
GGGUUGUGAGGUUAAGCGACUAAGCGUACACGGUGGAUGCCCUGGCAGUCAGAGGCGAUGAAGGGCGUGCUAAUCUGCGAUAAGCGCCGGUAAGGUGAUAUGAACCGUUAUAACCGGCGAUACCCGAAUGGGGAAACCCAGUGUGAUUCGUCACACUAUCAUUAACUGAAUCCAUAGGUUAAUGAGGCGAACCGGGGGAACUGAAACAUCUAAGUACCCCGAGGAAAAGAAAUCAACCGAGAUUCCCCCAGUAGCGGCGAGCGAACGGGGAGGAGCCCAGAGCCUGAAUCAGCAUGUGUGUUAGUGGAAGCGUCUGGAAAGGCGCGCGAUACAGGGUGACAGCCCCGUACACAAAAGCGCAUGUGCUGUGAGCUCGAUGAGUAGGGCGGGACACGUGGUAUCCUGUCUGAAUAUGGGGGGACCAUCCUCCAAGGCUAAAUACUCCUGACUGACCGAUAGUGAACCAGUACCGUGAGGGAAAGGCGAAAAGAACCCCGGCGAGGGGAGUGAAAAAGAACCUGAAACCGUGUACGUACAAGCAGUGGGAGCACCCUUCGGGGUGUGACUGCGUACCUUUUGUAUAAUGGGUCAGCGACUUAUAUUCUGUAGCAAGGUUAACCGUAUAGGGGAGCCGGAGGGAAACCGAGUCUUAACCGGGCGUUAAGUUGCAGGGUAUAGACCCGAAACCCGGUGAUCUAGCCAUGGGCAGGUUGAAGGUUGGGUAACACUAACUGGAGGACCGAACCGACUAAUGUUGAAAAAUUAGCGGAUGACCUGUGGCUGGGGGUGAAAGGCCAAUCAAACCGGGAGAUAGCUGGUUCUCCCCGAAAGCUAUUUAGGUAGCGCCUCGUGAAUUCAUCUCCGGGGGUAGAGCACUGUUUCGGCUAGGGGGCCAUCCCGGCUUACCAACCCGAUGCAAACUGCGAAUACCGGAGAAUGUUAUCACGGGAGACACACGGCGGGUGCUAACGUCCGUCGUGAAGAGGGAAACAACCCAGACCGCCAGCUAAGGUCCCAAAGUCAUGGUUAAGUGGGAAACGAUGUGGGAAGGCCCAGACAGCCAGGAUGUUGGCUUAGAAGCAGCCAUCAUUUAAAGAAAGCGUAAUAGCUCACUGGUCGAGUCGGCCUGCGCGGAAGAUGUAACGGGGCUAAACCAUGCACCGAAGCUGCGGCAGCGAACGUAUCACCCAAGACAACUUUACGGAGUUGACGAUUGACGGAGCGAAGCGACGUCAAAGCGUUCAUUAAAGUCGAGUUGGCUUAGGGAUACGUUCGUUGGGUA